RNAcentral lists this ribosomal RNA (1131 nucleotides) under Triticum aestivum (bread wheat). Its description in RNAcentral is "partial small subunit ribosomal RNA". The record is from RNAcentral. Lineage: Eukaryota; Viridiplantae; Streptophyta; Magnoliopsida; Poales; Poaceae.
AUGCUUAUGAGUAAGUUGGUAACGUCUAUUCUCAUUUCAGAGAUGUCAAGGACCUACAAUGCCAAAUUGGCCGCGGCACAACAACAGGCUGAAAGCCGAGUCAGGGAUCAUCGACAGACACGGUUUUCAGAUGUGCCUGUGUUUCCGCCUUUGCCUACAUAUCCGAGACGGAGUGAAUUGAAGAAGCUGCGUUUUCUCAGACAUUUGAGAUACGCUCAGCUGCAAUCUAUGGGUGUAAAUGGCUUUGCCUUCGGCAGACCUGGUGUACCAGUUACCUCACCAUAUGCUGCUAAGCACACUUAUCAUAUUGUGCAGCUACAAAAAGUUAAAGAUGGUCCUAUUGUCCAGUUUGCUUGCCGUGAAGCUGAUGGUUAUACCGGUGGAUGGAGAGUCCUCAUGACUAAAAAUGAUUCAGAAACAGAACCGUGGUUUGAAUGCAAAGGUUUUCACCUUCCAAGGGAUAUCUUCGUCAAUGUUGUGAAGACAGAGUACAGCUACAGCUAUCAAAACAUCAAUUCAAUUGGAUUAUCCAAGGCAAUCUUAUCUGUGAUAUUUGACUUCUUCGUAUCUACUCGCGGUGUGAACCCACUGAUCAUAACUGCUGAGGGAACAGCUUGCCUGGAUGCUGUCUUUUUCAUUCUUGGUGAAGGGCAACGGUUUCUGCAUUUUCUAAAGCUCACAGGGCGUGGCCUCAGGAGCAUUAAACCUGUCUUUCCCAGUCAAGACGAGGCAACGGUGGUAACACUCUGGCGUCAAGUUUGUGAGGCAAUAUUAGCAAUGUGCCUGGCAUUAGUUGAGAUGCACAAGGGGCUUGGGACUGAACCUAGGGAUAUCCGGCGCUUUGGAUACACUUACAGGACAGCUCGUGGUAAACUGGUGCAACUAAACCAGAAAUGCAACGGAUUGCUUCGUUUCAUUGGUCCGAACACAGAAAUCAACCUUGAAUAUCUUUGCGGAGGCGACAUGUUGCUUCUUAAGCACCGUCCAGAAUAUGUUAACAAGAUUCUCAUGAGAUUGGAUGGUUUCACAGGAGUUUUUUCUGGUACGAAGGCGCAAGGUGCGGAGGGGGAAACUUCUGGUGAGCAAGGUGCAGAGGGGGAAGCCUCUGGUGACUCAGAUAUGCAGUUGUAG